Molecule: ribosomal RNA, 822 nt
Filed under: uncultured organism
Description: SSU rRNA
Rfam family: Bacterial small subunit ribosomal RNA
Source: RNAcentral
UGCCUAACACAUGCAAGUCGAACGAAGCUUGAGGAAUGAUUUCUUCGGAAUGAAUUCUGAUAUGACUUAGUGGCGGACGGGUGAGUAACACGUGAGCAACCUGCCUUUCAGAGGGGGAUAACGGCUGGAAACGGUCGCUAAUACCGCAUGAUAUGUUUGGAUGGCAUCAUCUGAACAUCAAAGAUUUAUCGCUGAAAGAUGGGCUCGCGUCUGAUUAGAUAGUUGGUGAGGUAACGGCUCACCAAGUCGACGAUCAGUAGCCGGACUGAGGGGUUGAACGGCCACAUUGGGACUGAGAUACGGCCCAGACUCCUACGGGAGGCAGCAGUGGGGAAUAUUGCACAAUGGGGGAAACCCUGAUGCAGCAACGCCGCGUGAAGGAAGACGGUUUUCGGAUUGUAAACUUCUUUUCUUUGUGAAGAAACAAAUGACGGUAGCAAAGGAAUAAGCAUCGGCUAACUACGUGCCAGCAGCCGCGGUAAUACGUAGGAUGCAAGCGUUAUCCGGAUUUACUGGGUGUAAAGGGAGCGCAGGCGGGACUUCAAGUUGGAUGUGAAAGGUCAAGGCUUAACCUUGGCACUGCAUCCAAAACUGUAGUUCUUGAGUGGAGUAGAGGUAAGCGGAAUUCCGAGUGUAGCGGUGAAAUGCGUAGAUAUUCGGAGGAACACCAGUGGCGAAGGCGGCUUACUGGGCUCUAACUGACGCUGAGGCUCGAAAGUGUGGGGAGCAAACAGGAUUAGAUACCCUGGUAGUCCACACUGUAAACGAUGAUAGCUAGGUGUGGGGGGUCUGACCCCUUCCGUGCCGGAUUUACGCAAUAAG